This is a long non-coding RNA of Dreissena polymorpha, 935 nucleotides long. RefSeq lists it as uncharacterized. NCBI's taxonomy places the organism in Eukaryota, Metazoa, Mollusca, Bivalvia, Myida, Dreissenidae. The record is from RefSeq and is a predicted model, not a curated record. The transcript is spliced from 3 exons.
GAAUGCAAAAAGAUGAGGUGGUAAAGAACAGAAUGAAUUUACAUAUGGACAGCACCACCAUUGAUAUCGAGUUGGCCCAGCAACAGCACCAGUCCGGCCUGCAGGAGCCCCAGUCCAGGACGACCCAUCCACUCCCCUGACCCAUAACUCAUCAUACUUGAUAUCCCGAAAAAUGGGGCCUUAUGCAUGUGCUUAAAUUGUUGUCACAGAUAAGCCUAUGCAGUUUGCACAGGCUAAUAAUGGACAACAUUUUCCUCUUAAAGCAGAGCACCAGCAUUGAUAUCGAGUUGGCCCAGCAACCGCACCAGUCCCGCCUGCAGAAGCCCCAGUCCAGAAUGACCCUCCCCCUCCAUUGACUUCUAACUCCUCCCCCUUGACCUCCUGCCUAAAAAAGUCAGCAUCGUUGAAAAAAUCUGUUCUGCAGGAAAUUCUGAGCAUGAUUCUGUUCUGACAAAACGCAAUGCCCACUUUACGUUUUCCAAACAAAAGCCUGGGUAGUUUUGUUAAGCUAGAGUUCCGCGUGGGCUUGAAAGGGACAAGUGUUACAGACACGAAAAGUUAUAGCAGAAGUUAUGGUAACGCUAACAGUCAGUUGUUGCUGUUGGACAUCACAACAAAUAUCAUGAAGAAUAAAAAGUUCAAUCACUUGUUCCAAUCGUUAUGGGACAAACAGAAAUUGAACAGGAGAGAAUCAAGGAACAAUAAAAGCGUAAGCUUUCCUAGUGGUAUACGUCUGCUGUUGAUAGUUUGGACAACAGAAGGGUUACGGACUGCCCCAGAUUGUCCUCUCAGCGGCCAAAAUAUCAUAAUAGAACAGACUUUUAGCAAUGUUACUGACAAAAAAAGGCAAAAAUGACUUGGUUGUGAACACCCAGAGCGCGAUACAUCCAUUCUUACACAGAAAGGCGGUAAUAACUUGGUUGUGAAGACCCAGG